RNAcentral lists this unclassified non-coding RNA (346 nucleotides) under soil metagenome. RNAcentral's name for it is "partial contains 5.8S ribosomal RNA, internal transcribed spacer 2, and large subunit ribosomal RNA". The stretch from base 1 to 120 matches the Rfam family "5.8S ribosomal RNA", at positions 35 to 154 of the family's 154-position model. The record is from RNAcentral.
GAUGAAGAACGCAGCGAAAUGCGAUAAGUAAUGUGAAUUGCAGAAUUCAGUGAAUCAUCGAAUCUUUGAACGCACAUUGCGCCCCCUGGUAUUCCGGGGGGCAUGCCUGUCCGAGCGUCAUUGCUGCCCUCAAGCACGGCUUGUGUGUUGGGCCCCGUCCUCCGAUCCCGGGGGACGGGCCCGAAAGGCAGCGGCGGCACCGCGUCCGGUCCUCGAGCGUAUGGGGCUUUGUCACCCGCUCUGUAGGCCCGGCCGGCGCUUGCCGAUCAACCCAAAUUUUUAUCCAGGUUGACCUCGGAUCUGGUAGGGAUACCCGCUGAACUUAAGCAUAUCAAUAAGCGGAGGA